AGGAGUCUAGCUCAGGGGGAGAGCAUUUGACUGCAGAUCAAGAGGUUCCUGGUUCAAAUCCAGGGACUGUAA
RNAcentral lists this transfer RNA (72 nucleotides) under Mesocricetus auratus (golden hamster). It matches the Rfam family "tRNA". Rfam says of the family: Transfer RNA (tRNA) molecules are approximately 80 nucleotides in length. Lineage: Eukaryota; Metazoa; Chordata; Mammalia; Rodentia; Cricetidae. The record is from Rfam by way of RNAcentral.